RNAcentral lists this ribosomal RNA (256 nucleotides) under uncultured bacterium. Its description in RNAcentral is "partial 16S ribosomal RNA". It matches the Rfam family "Bacterial small subunit ribosomal RNA", at positions 524 to 776 of the family's 1533-position model. The record is from RNAcentral.
UACAGAGGUCUCAAGCGUUGUUCGGAUUCAUUGGGCGUAAAGGGUGCGUAGGCGGCGCGGUAAGUCGGGUGUGAAAUCUCGGAGCUUAACUCCGAAACUGCAUUCGAUACUGCCGUGCUUGAGGACUGGAGAGGAGACUGGAAUUUACGGUGUAGCGGUGAAAAUGCGUAGAUAUCAGGAGGAACACCGGUGGCGAAGGCGGGUCUCUGGGCCGAUACUGACGCUGAGGAGCGAAAAGCGUGGGGGAGCGAACAGG